GACGAACGUUGGCGGCGUGCUUAACACAUGCAAGUCGAACGGAAAGGCCCUGCUUUUGUGGGGUGCUCGAGUGGCGAACGGGUGAGUAACACGUGAGUAACCUGCCCUUGACUUUGGGAUAACUUCAGGAAACUGGGGCUAAUACCGGAUAGGAGCUCCUGCUGCAUGGUGGGGGUUGGAAAGUUUCGGCGGUUGGGGAUGGACUCGCGGCUUAUCAGCUUGUUGGUGGGGUAGUGGCUUACCAAGGCUUUGACGGGUAGCCGGCCUGAGAGGGUGACCGGCCACAUUGGGACUGAGAUACGGCCCAGACUCCUACGGGAGGCAGCAGUGGGGAAUAUUGCACAAUGGGCGGAAGCCUGAUGCAGCAACGCCGCGUGCGGGAUGACGGCCUUCGGGUUGUAAACCGCUUUCGCCUGUGACGAAGCGUGAGUGACGGUAAUGGGUAAAGAAGCACCGGCUAACUACGUGCCAGCAGCCGCGGUGAUACGUAGGGUGCGAGCGUUGUCCGGAUUUAUUGGGCGUAAAGGGCUCGUAGGUGGUUGAUCGCGUCGGAAGUGUAAUCUUGGGGCUUAACCCUGAGCGUGCUUUCGAUACGGGUUGACUUGAGGAAGGUAGGGGAGAAUGGAAUUCCUGGUGGAGCGGUGGAAUGCGCAGAUAUCAGGAGGAACACCAGUGGCGAAGGCGGUUCUCUGGGCCUUUCCUGACGCUGAGGAGCGAAAGCGUGGGGAGCGAACAGGCUUAGAUACCCUGGUAGUCCACGCUGUAAACGGUGGGUACUAGGUGUGGGGUCCAUUCCACGGGUUCCGUGCCGUAGCUAACGCUUUAAGUACCCCGCCUGGGGAGUACGGCCGCAAGGCUAAAACUCAAAGGAAUAGACGGGGCCCCGCACAAGCGGUGGAGCAUGCGGAUUAAUUCGAUGCAACGCGUAGAACCUUACCUGGGUUUGACAUGGAUCGGGAGUGCUCAGAGAUGGGUGUGCCUCUUUUGGGGUCGGUUCACAGGUGGUGCAUGGCUGUCGUCAGCUCGUGUCGUGAGAUGUUGGGUUAAGUCCCGCAACGAGCGCAACCCUUGUUCACUGUUGCCAGCACGUUAUGGUGGGGACUCAGUGGAGACCGCCGGGGUCAACUCGGAGGAAGGUGGGGAUGACGUCAAGUCAUCAUGCCCCUUAUGUCCAGGGCUUCACGCAUGCUACAAUGGCUGGUACUGAGAGUGGCGAGCCUGUGAGGGUGAGCGAAUCUCGGAAAGCCGGUCUCAGUUCGGAUUGGGGUCUGCAACUCGACCUCAUGAAGUCGGAGCCGCUAGUAAUCGCAGAUCAGCAACGCUGCGGUGAAUACGUUCCCGGGGCU
This 1346-nucleotide ribosomal RNA is filed under the name uncultured bacterium. Its description in RNAcentral is "partial 16S ribosomal RNA". It matches the Rfam family "Bacterial small subunit ribosomal RNA", at positions 28 to 1381 of the family's 1533-position model. The record is from RNAcentral.